RNAcentral lists this ribosomal RNA (497 nucleotides) under uncultured bacterium. RNAcentral's name for it is "partial 16S ribosomal RNA". It matches the Rfam family "Bacterial small subunit ribosomal RNA", at positions 28 to 507 of the family's 1533-position model. The record is from RNAcentral.
GAUGAACGCUGGCGGCGUGCCUAAUACAUGCAAGUCGAGCGAACAGACGAGGAGCUUGCUCCUCUGACGUUAGCGGCGGACGGGUGAGUAACACGUGGAUAACCUACCUAUAAGACUGGGAUAACUUCGGGAAACCGGAGCUAAUACCGGAUAAUAUAUUGAACCGCAUGGUUCAAUAGUGAAAGACGGUUUUGCUGUCACUUAUAGAUGGAUCCGCGCCGCAUUAGCUAGUUGGUAAGGUAACGGCUUACCAAGGCAACGAUGCGUAGCCGACCUGAGAGGGUGAUCGGCCACACUGGAACUGGGCCACGGUCCAGACUCCUACGGGAGGCAGCAGUAGGGAAUCUUCCGCAAUGGGCGAAAGCCUGACGGAGCAACGCCGCGUGAGUGAUGAAGGUCUUCGGAUCGUAAAACUCUGUUAUUAGGGAAGAACAAAUGUGUAAGUAACUAUGCGCGUCUUGACGGUACCUAAUCAGAAAGCCACGGCUAACUACGUG